AUUGAACGCUGGCGGCGUGCCUAACACAUGCAAGUCGAGCGGUAACAGGUGUAGCAAUACAUGCUGACGAGCGGCGGACGGGUGAGUAACGCUUGGGAAUCUGCCUAUUAGUGGGGGACAACCCGGGGAAACUCGGGCUAAUACCGCAUACGCUCUACGGAGGAAAGCCGGGGACCGCAAGGCCUGGCGCUAAUAGAUGAGCCCAAGUCGGAUUAGCUAGUUGGUAGGGUAAUGGCCUACCAAGGCGACGAUCCGUAACUGGUCUGAGAGGACGACCAGUCACACCGGAACUGAGACACGGUCCGGACUCCUACGGGAGGCAGCAGUGGGGAAUAUUGGACAAUGGGCGAAAGCCUGAUCCAGCGACGCCGCGUGGGUGAAGAAGGCCUGCGGGUUGUAAAGCCCUUUCAGUGGGGAAGAAAAGCCUCGACCUAACACGUCGGGGUCUUGACGUAACCCAUAGAAGAAGCACCGGCUAACUCUGUGCCAGCAGCCGCAGUAAG
This 503-nucleotide ribosomal RNA is filed under the name uncultured bacterium. RNAcentral's name for it is "bacterial SSU rRNA". It matches the Rfam family "Bacterial small subunit ribosomal RNA", at positions 29 to 524 of the family's 1533-position model. The record is from RNAcentral.